AUCCAUCGUACACCCGUCACCUCCGACAGACGGGCAUUGACACUGCCAUAGUAACGAACAGGUCGUUUAUAUUCAUACAUUUGCACUUCUAUGAAUAGGGCGUUAAUAUUGGAAUAUGCCUUGCAUUAAGAUAGGUAUUGAUACAUUUGCCUUGUCAUUAAUUGGGCAGUAUACAAAGAUGUGCAUUAAGAUGAAACGAAUUGUUUGUUGGUAUUGAUAUAUUUACACUGUCAUAGAAAUAAGCAGAUCAUACAUUUCCACUGCCAUGAAUAGGGCACUAAUAUUGAAAUACGCCGUGGAUUAAGAUAAAACGAAUGGUUUAUUGGUAUUGAUAUAGUUUCACUGUCAUAGAAAUAAGCAGUUCAUAUUUUUACACAGCCAUGAACAGGGCACUGAUAUUGAAAUACGCCGUGGAUUAAGAUAAAACGAAUGGUUUGUUUGUAUUGAUAUAGUUUCACUGUCAUAUAGAUACAAAUACAUUUGCUUUGCCAGGCCAAUAAUACUAGAUAAUGACUAACAGUCAGAAGAACCGAUUCAUAUAGGCAUUUACCCCAUACCCUACCGAGUCAUAUAGGCAUUUACCCUAUACCCUACCGAGUCAUAUAGGCCUUUACCCUAUACCCUACCGAGUCAUAUAGGCAUUUACCCUAUACCCUACCGGGUCAUAUAGGCAUUUACCCUAUACCCUACCGGGUCAUAUAGGCAUUUACCCUAUACCCUAUCGAGUUAUAUAGGCAUUUACCCUAUACCUUACCGAGUCAUAUAGGCAUUUACCCUAUACCCUACCGAGUCAUAUAGGCAUUUACCCUAUACCCUACCGAGUCAUAUAGGCAUUUACCCUAUACCCUACCGAGUCAUAUAGUUAUUUACCCUUUACCCUACCGGGUCAUAUAGGUAUUUAUCCUAUACCCUACUGAGUCAUAUAGGCAUUUACCCUAUACCCUACUGAGUCUUAUAGGUAUUUACCCUUUACCCUACCGGGUCAUAUAGGUAUUUACUCUAUACCCUACUGAGUCAUAUAGGCAUUUACCCUAUACCCUACUGAGUCAUAUAGGCAUUUACCCUUUACCCUACAGGGUCAUAUAGGUAUUUACCCUAUACCCUACUGAGUCAUAUAGGUAUUUACCCUUUACCCUACAGGGUCAUAUAGGUAUUUACCCUAUACCCUUCUGAGUCAUAUAGGCAUUUACCCUAUACCCUACUGAGUCAUAUAGGCAUUUACCCUUUACCCUACAGGGUCAUAUAGGUAUUUACCCUAUACCCUACCGGGUCAUAUAGGUAUUUACCCUAUACCCUACUGAGUCAUAUAGGUAUUUACCCUAUACCCUACUGAGUCAUAUAGGCAUUUACCCUAUAUCCUACUGAGUCAUAUAGGCAUUUACCCUUUACCCUACAGGGUCAUAUAGGUAUUUACCCUAUACCCUACCGGGUCAUAUAGGUAUUUACCCUAUACCCUACUGAGUCAUAUAGGUAUUUACCCUAUACCCUACCGGGUCAUAUAGGUAUUUACCCUAUACCCUACCGAGUCAUAUAGGCCUUCACCCUAUACCCUACUGAGUCAUAUAGGCAUUUACCCUUUACCCUACCGAGUCAUAUAGGCAUUUACCCUAUACCCUACUGAGUCAUAUAGGUAUUUACCCUAUACCCUACUGAGUCAUAUAGGUAUUUACCCUAUACCCUACUGGGUCAUAUAGGUAUUUACCCUAUACCCUACCGGGUCAUAUAGGCAUUUACCCUAUACCCUACCGGGUCAUAUAGGUAUUUACCCUAUACCCUACUGAGUCAUAUAGGUAUUUACCCUAUACCCUACCGGGUCAUAUAGGUAUUUACCCUAUACCCUACCGAGUCAUAUAGGCCUUCACCCUAUACCCUACUGAGUCAUAUAGGCAUUUACCCUUUACCCUACCGAGUCAUAUAGGCAUUUACCCUAUACCCUACUGAGUCAUAUAGGUAUUUACCCUAUACCCUACUGAGUCAUAUAGGUAUUUACCCUAUACCCUACCGGGUCAUAUAGGUAUUUACCCUAUACCCUACUGAGUCAUAUAGGUAUUUACCCUAUACCCUACAGGGUCAUAUAGGUAUUUACCCUAUACCCUACCGAGUCAUAUAGGUAUUUACCCUAUACCCUACCGGGUCAUAUAGGUAUUUACUCUAUACCCUACUGAGUCAUAUAGGCAUUUACCCUAUACCCUACCGAGUCAUAUAGGUAUUUACCCUAUACCCUACCGAGUCAUAUAGGUAUUUACCCUAUACCCUACCGGGUCAUAUAGGUAUUUACUCUAUACCCUACUGAGUCAUAUAGGUAUUUACCCUUUACCCUACUGAGUCAUAUAGGUAUUUACCCUAUACCCUACUGAGUCAUAUAGGUAUUUACCCUAUACCCUACAGGGUCAUAUAGGUAUUUACCCUAUACCCUACCGGGUCAUAUAGGUAUUUACCCUAUACCCUACUGAGUCAUAUAGGCAUUUACCCUAUACCCUACCGGUGACAUGGAGGGGGUUGGGCACGCCCCUUGAGAAAUCCCCAGAAUUAUCUUGACAUCCUGAAGAUUACCCUGCGAAAAGCAUGAGAUAUAUAUAUUAUGCUCCCGAAAAAGUACCUCCCUAAUAUCACAUGAUUAUCAUAAUUACCACCAGCAUCCUGGUAGAAAAAAUCAGUAA
Molecule: long non-coding RNA, 2660 nt
Organism: Nematostella vectensis (starlet sea anemone)
Lineage: Eukaryota; Metazoa; Cnidaria; Anthozoa; Actiniaria; Edwardsiidae
Exons: 2
Source: RefSeq, a predicted model, not a curated record